Molecule: transfer RNA, 73 nt
Filed under: Mus musculus (house mouse)
Lineage: Eukaryota; Metazoa; Chordata; Mammalia; Rodentia; Muridae
Rfam family: tRNA
About the family: Transfer RNA (tRNA) molecules are approximately 80 nucleotides in length. Their secondary structure includes four short double-helical elements and three loops (D, anti-codon, and T loops). Further hydrogen bonds mediate the characteristic L-shaped molecular structure. tRNAs have two regions of fundamental functional importance: the anti-codon, which is responsible for specific mRNA codon recognition, and the 3' end, to which the tRNAs corresponding amino acid is attached (by aminoacyl-tRNA synthetases). tRNAs cope with the degeneracy of the genetic code in two manners: having more than one tRNA (with a specific anti-codon) for a particular amino acid; and 'wobble' base-pairing, i.e. permitting non-standard base-pairing at the 3rd anti-codon position.
Source: Rfam by way of RNAcentral
GGAGAGGUGGCUCAGUGGUUAAGAGCACUGACUUCUCUGCCAGGGGUCCUGAGUUCAAUUCCCAGCAACUACA